UCCCUGGGAGUCCAGUGAUUAGGACUCUCCUCUUUCACUGCUGUAGACCCAAGUUCAAUUCCUGGUCAGGGAA
Molecule: transfer RNA, 73 nt
Filed under: Ovis aries (sheep)
Lineage: Eukaryota; Metazoa; Chordata; Mammalia; Artiodactyla; Bovidae
Rfam family: tRNA
About the family: Transfer RNA (tRNA) molecules are approximately 80 nucleotides in length. Their secondary structure includes four short double-helical elements and three loops (D, anti-codon, and T loops).
Source: Rfam by way of RNAcentral